Molecule: ribosomal RNA, 208 nt
Filed under: uncultured bacterium
Lineage: Bacteria
Description: partial 16S ribosomal RNA
Rfam family: Bacterial small subunit ribosomal RNA
Source: RNAcentral
CGCGUAGGCGGUUCGCUAAGUUGGAUGUGAAAACUCUGGGCUUAACCCAGAGCCUGCAUCCAAAACUGGCAAACUGGAGUACUGGAGGGGAAAGCGGAAUUCCUGGUGUAGCGGUGAAAUGCGUAGAUAUCAGGAGGAACACCGGUGGCGAAGGCGGCUUUCUGGACAGUAACUGACGCUGAGGCGCGAAAGCUAGGGGAAGCAAACA